CGUGAGCGAUGAAGCCCCUCGGGGUGUAAAGCUCUUUCGGCAGGGACGAUAAUGACGGUACCUGAAGAAGAAGCUGCGGCUAACUACGUGC
This 91-nucleotide ribosomal RNA is filed under the name uncultured bacterium. RNAcentral's name for it is "partial 16S ribosomal RNA". It matches the Rfam family "Bacterial small subunit ribosomal RNA", at positions 400 to 508 of the family's 1533-position model. The record is from RNAcentral.